Molecule: ribosomal RNA, 420 nt
Filed under: uncultured eukaryote
Lineage: Eukaryota
Description: partial small subunit ribosomal RNA
Rfam family: Eukaryotic small subunit ribosomal RNA
Source: RNAcentral
AGCUCCAAUAGCGUAUAUUAAAGUUGUUGCAGUUAAAAAGCCCGUAGUCGAAUUUUUUAGGAUACUAGAUUAUAAAUUGAUUUUAAAUUGAUAUAUAAAAAGGGUCCUAAUAAUUUUCUUAAUCUUUGGGUUAUAAUAUAUACUUUAAUGUAUAGUUAUAAUCAUUUUCUUUUUCAUUUGAAAAAGAAGGGUUAAGAAUGAUUACUUUGAAAAAAUUAGAGUGUUCAAAGCAAGCUUUAUGCAUGAAUACAUUAGCAUGGAAUAAUGAAAUAGGACUUUGGAUCUAUUUUGUUGGUUUAUAGAACCAAAGUAAUGAUGAAUAGGGAUGGUUGGGGGCAUUAGUAUUUAAUUGUCAGAGGUGAAAUUCUUGGAUUUAUGAAAGACUAACUUCUGCGAAAGCAUUUGCCAAGGACAUUCCCA